Molecule: ribosomal RNA, 253 nt
Filed under: uncultured prokaryote
Description: partial 16S ribosomal RNA
Rfam family: Bacterial small subunit ribosomal RNA
Source: RNAcentral
UACAGAGGUCUCAAGCGUUGUUCGGAUUCAUUGGGCGUAAAGGGUGCGUAGGCUGCGGGGUAAGUCUGCUGUGAAAGCCCGGGGCUCAACCCCGGAGGGUCGGUGGAUACUGGCGGCCUUGAAGGUGCUAGGGGGGAAUGGAAUUACCGGUGUAGCGGUGAAAUGCGUAGAUAUCGGUAGGAACACCAGUGGCGAAGGCGGUUCCCUGGGGCACUCUUGACGCUGAUGCGCGAAAGCUGGGGGAGCGAACGGG